This 515-nucleotide ribosomal RNA is filed under the name uncultured bacterium. RNAcentral describes it as "partial 16S ribosomal RNA". It matches the Rfam family "Bacterial small subunit ribosomal RNA", at positions 30 to 523 of the family's 1533-position model. The record is from RNAcentral.
AUUGAACGCUGGCGGCGUGCCUAAUACAUGCAAGUCGAGCGAAUGGAUUAAGAGCUUGCUCUUAUGAAGUUAGCGGCGGACGGGUGAGUAACACGUGGGUAACCUGCCCAUAAGACUAGGAUAACUCCGGGAAACCGGGGCUAAUACCGGAUAACAUUUUGAACCGCAUGGUUCGAAAUUGAAAGGCGGCUUCGGCUGUCACUUAUGGAUGGACCCGCGUCGCAUUAGCUAGUUGGUGAGGUAACGGCUCACCAAGGCAACGAUGCGUAGCCGACCUGAGAGGGUGAUCGGCCACACUGGGACUGAGACACGGCCCAGACUCCUACGGGAGGCAGCAGUAGGGAAUCUUCCGCAAUGGACGAAAGUCUGACGGAGCAACGCCGCGUGAGCGAUGAAGGCUUUCGGGUCGUAAAACUCUGUUGUUAGGGAAGAACAAGUGCUAGUUGAAUAAGCUGGCACCUUGACGGUACCUAACCAGAAAGCCACGGCUAACUACGUGCCAGCCGCCGCAGUAA